UACGGAGGGUGCAAGCGUUAUCCGGAUUCACUGGGUUUAAAGGGUGCGUAGGCGGGCAGGUAAGUCAGAGGUGAAAUCUCCGGGCUUAACCCGGAAACUGCCUUUGAUACUAUCUGUCUUGAAUAUGGUGGAGGUAAGCGGAAUAUGUCAUGUAGCGGUGAAAUGCUUAGAUAUGACAUAGAACACCCAUUGCGAAGGCAGCUUACUACGCCUAUAUUAACGCUGAGGCACGAAAGCGUGGGGAUCAAACAGG
Molecule: ribosomal RNA, 253 nt
Filed under: uncultured bacterium
Lineage: Bacteria
Description: partial 16S ribosomal RNA
Rfam family: Bacterial small subunit ribosomal RNA
Source: RNAcentral